GAUGAGCGCUGGCGGCGUGCCUAACACAUGCAAGUCGAGCGAUCUUCUUCGGAAGAGAGCGGCGGACGGGUGAGUAACGCGUGGGUAACCUGCCCUGUACACACGGAUAACAUACCGAAAGGUAUGCUAAUACGGGAUAACAUAAGAAAGUCGCAUGGCUUUCUUAUCAAAGCUUUUGCGGUACAGGAUGGACCCGCGUCUGAUUAGCUAGUUGGUAAGGUAACGGCUUACCAAGGCGACGAUCAGUAGCCGACCUGAGAGGGUGAUCGGCCACAUUGGAACUGAGACACGGUCCAAACUCCUACGGGAGGCAGCAGUGGGGAAUAUUGCACAAUGGGCGAAAGCCUGAUGCAGCAACGCCGCGUGAGCGAUGAAGGCCUUCGGGUCGUAAAGCUCUGUCCUCAAGGAAGAUAAUGACGGUACUUGAGGAGGAAGCCCCGGCUAACUACGUGCCAGCAGCCGCGGUAAUACGUAGGGGGCUAGCGUUAUCCGGAAUUACUGGGCGUAAAGGGUGCGUAGGCGGUCUUUCAAGUCAGAAGUGAAAGGCUACGGCUCAACCGUAGUAAGCUUUUGAAACUGUAAGACUUGAGUGCAGGAGAGGAGAGUGGAAUUCCUAGUGUAGCGGUGAAAUGCGUAGAUAUUAGGAGGAACACCAGUUGCGAAGGCGGCUCUCUGGACUGUAACUGACGCUGAGGCACGAAACGUGGGGAGCAAACAGG
Molecule: ribosomal RNA, 719 nt
Filed under: uncultured Clostridium sp.
Lineage: Bacteria; Bacillati; Bacillota; Clostridia; Eubacteriales; Clostridiaceae
Description: bacterial SSU rRNA
Rfam family: Bacterial small subunit ribosomal RNA
Source: RNAcentral